ACCGAGCACGCCGCGUGAGCGAUGAAGGCCUUCGGGUCGUAAAGCUCUGUUGUCAGAGAAGAACAAGUACCGGAGUAACUGCCGGUACCUUGACGGUACCUGACCAGAAAGCCACGGCUAACUACGUGCCAGCAGCCGCGGUAAUACGUAGGUGGCAAGCGUUAUCCGGAAUUAUUGGGCGUAAAGCGCGCGCAGGCGGUUCUUUAAGUCUGAUGUGAAAGCCCACGGCUCAACCGUGGAGGGUCAUUGGAAACUGGGGAACUUGAGUGCAGGAGAGAAAAGUGGAAUUCCACGUGUAGCGGUGAAAUGCGUAGAGAUGUGGAGGAACACCAGUGGCGAAGGCGGCUUUUUGGCCUGUAACUGACGCUGAGGCGCGAAAGCGUGGGGAGCAAACAGGAUUAGAUACCCUGGUAGUCCACGCCGUAAACGAUGAGUGCUAGGUGUUGGGGGGUUCCACCCUCAGUGCUGACGUUAACACAUUAGGCACUCCGCCUGGGGAGUACGGCCGCAAGGCUGAAACUCAAAGGAAUUGACGGGGGCCCGCACAAGCAGUGGAGCAUGUGGUUUAAUUCGAAGCAACGCGAAUAACCUUAGCGGGUCUUGACAUCCUCUGACCACUUGAGAGAUCAAGCUUUCCCCUUCGGGGGACAGAGUGACAGGUGGUGCAUGGUUGUCGUCAGCUCGUGUCGUGAGAUGUUGGGUUAACUCCCGCAACGAGCGCAACCCUUGACCUUAGUUGUCAGCAUUAAGUUGGGCACUCUACGGUGACUGCCGGUGACAAACCGGAGGAUGUGUGUCUCAUGACGUCAAAUCAUCAUGCCUCUUAUGACCUGCCGCUGGACGCGUGCUGCGAUGGGUGAUACAAACAGAUUGCAAAGGCCGCGCACGCUGCAUCAAAUCCCAAAAAGUCUCGACUAAGUUCGACUGCUACGCUAGCUACUCGCCUAGCUGGAAGCGUGAAUUUGCUAGUGACUCGUCUGGAUCAGGAU
Molecule: ribosomal RNA, 989 nt
Filed under: Fictibacillus sp.
Lineage: Bacteria; Bacillati; Bacillota; Bacilli; Caryophanales; Fictibacillaceae
Description: bacterial SSU rRNA
Rfam family: Bacterial small subunit ribosomal RNA
Source: RNAcentral